Tricladium varicosporioides is the source of this 140-nucleotide non-coding RNA. NCBI's taxonomy places the organism in Eukaryota, Fungi, Ascomycota, Leotiomycetes, Helotiales, Tricladiaceae. The record is from the annotation of a GenBank genome assembly.
CCCUCGGUCGUCUAGUUGGUUUAUGGCGUCCGGCUGUAAUUGAUCAGCUUCACCGGAAUGGUAGGUCCAACCACUAUAAAAUUUCUCUCAGGCAGAUGCUAACAUCUGCACAGUCGCGCGUUCGACUCGCGCCUGAGGGA